AUUUUUUUUUUUUUCACUAAAACGGUAAAACCCGAUAAUACAUAAAACCCUAAUACAAAAAAAAUUUCUCCUCUCUUAAACCCGAUUCUUUGCCCAUCUUCACUAUCAAUUUCCUCUUCACAAGCCAGAACCACCAUCAGUCUUUAUCUCUCACCUUUCUCUGAAUCUAAACCCGAUUCUUUGCCCAUCUUCACUAUCAAUUUUCUCUCCACAACCCAGAACCACCAUCGGUCUUUAUCUCUCGCCUUUCUCUGAAUCUAACAACCUUUCUCUGAAUCUAAACCCGAUUCUUUGCCCAUCUUCACUAUCAAUUUUCUCUCCACAACCCAGAACCACCAUCGGUCUUUAUCUCUCGCCUUUCUCUGAAUCUAACAACAAUAAAGAAGCGGGCUUAAUCUAAACCGGGGUUGUUGACAUCGCUACCGUUGAAGGCGAAAGUGGCCUCCACGAUCGCCUCCUAGCCCGUCCAUUAGUCCGACCCAGCCGACUGAGCCGUCCUUCAGAAAACCCGAUUGUUGCUUUGUGGUGUGCUUCUUUUCCUCUUUCUCUUUCCUCUUAAUUGAUUUUUUGUUUUUUGCAGAGUUUCUACGUCUUCUUCUUCCUUUGUAUUCAGAGUUAUACCAAAGAAGAAUCAUUAAAAUUCUGGGAGGCAUUACUCAUCAAGAUUCUGCAGGCCAUAAGGAUACAAUUGGACCUUGUGAUGUGCAGAAGAGAUUGUUGGCCAACAAAUGAGGAAGAGCAAGGCAAAGGGAAGAUGGGGCAUUGCAAAGCCAAUACUCACUUUGAUUGAGAGAUUAUUUGGGCUGGGUCAAAGUGGAGAGUGAGGGACGGUAGGGCUUGAUUUGAUUGGGAACAGAUUCUUUCUAUGCAGGUAAAUGAGCUUAUUGAUGAGUCGACUAAAUAGUGGGAUCGUGGAAAUUUUUUUUCACUGUUUACUCAUAGGACCUGUGUAGUGAUACUUGCCAUUCCUUUGAACAAUACCUACUCUCAGGAUCAGUGGGUAUGGAAGGAGAAUUGGUCACAAAAUUUCUCCGUAAAAUCUGCAUACCAGGUUGCACGUCGCUUGCGGCAGCCGAGGAACAAGUAACAUUCUUCUGCUAGAGGAGAUUUGUUACUAUGGAGGAAAUUAUGGGCCCUUAAUGUGCCACCAAAUAAAGUCAAAUAAAACAGACAUAAACAAAAGAUGUGCCACCAAAUGCUAUGGACGAAAAUAAAGACAUAAACAAAAUGUAAGGAAAAUAUUGUAUUUGUGCCACCUGGACACCUAAAACAUAAAAGUCUGUUUAAAGACAUAAAAGUCACAAAUCUGUCUGUUUAAAGACCAAAUCCGAGAAGCCCCAACACCUUGACCAAUCAAAUAAAGUCUUUCUUUGAUUGGAAAGUUGUGUUAAUGAAGUUCCUUAUCAGUUUUUAUUGUAUUUGGUCUAUGUUUGUUUUUUAAUAUAUUUUGCUAAUAAAGUUUUAAAUUUUUUUUCA
This is a long non-coding RNA of Quercus robur (English oak), 1476 nucleotides long. RefSeq lists it as uncharacterized. The record is from RefSeq and is a predicted model, not a curated record. The transcript has 4 exons. Lineage: Eukaryota; Viridiplantae; Streptophyta; Magnoliopsida; Fagales; Fagaceae.